This 375-nucleotide ribosomal RNA is filed under the name uncultured bacterium. RNAcentral describes it as "bacterial SSU rRNA". It matches the Rfam family "Bacterial small subunit ribosomal RNA", at positions 335 to 704 of the family's 1533-position model. The record is from RNAcentral.
ACUCCUACGGGAGGCAGCAGUGGGGAAUAUUGCACAAUGGGGGAAACCCUGAUGCAGCCAUGCCGCGUGUGUGAAGAAGGCCUUCGGUUGUAAAGCACUUUCAGUAGGGAGGAAGGUAGUGUAGUUAACACCUGCACUAUUUGACGUUACCUACAGAAGAAGCACCGGCUAACUCCGUGCCAGCAGCCGCGGUAAUACGGAGGGUGCGAGCGUUAAUCGGAAUUACUGGGCGUAAAGCGCAUGCAGGCGGCCUGUUAAGUCAGAUGUGAAAGCCCGGGGCUUAACCUCGGAAUUGCAUUUGAAACUGGCAGGCUAGAGUCUUGUAGAGGGGGUAGAAUUUCAGGUGUAGCGGUGAAAUGCGUAGAGAUCUGAAGG